Molecule: ribosomal RNA, 252 nt
Filed under: uncultured bacterium
Lineage: Bacteria
Description: partial 16S ribosomal RNA
Rfam family: Bacterial small subunit ribosomal RNA
Source: RNAcentral
UACGGAGGGUGCAAACGUUGCUCGGAAUCAUUGGGCGUAAAGCGCACGUAGGCGGCUUGUUAAGUCGGGUGUGAAAGCCCUCGGCUCAACCGAGGAAGUGCAUUCGAAACUGGCAAGCUUGAGUAUGGAAGAGGGUCGCGGAAUUCCCGGUGUAGAGGUGAAAUUCGUAGAUAUCGGGAGGAACACCAGUGGCGAAGGCGGCGACCUGGGCCAAUACUGACGCUGAGGUGCGAAAGCGUGGGGAGCAAACAG